Molecule: ribosomal RNA, 573 nt
Filed under: uncultured bacterium
Lineage: Bacteria
Description: bacterial SSU rRNA
Rfam family: Bacterial small subunit ribosomal RNA
Source: RNAcentral
UGGGAACUAGAAUGUGGGGACCUUUCCACGGUCUCCGUGUCGCAGCUAACGCAUUAAGUUCCCCGCCUGGGGAGUACGGCCGCAAGGCUAAAACUCAAAGGAAUUGACGGGGGCCCGCACAAGCGGCGGAGCAUGCGGAUUAAUUCGAUGCAACGCGAAGAACCUUACCAAGGCUUGACAUAUACCGGAAACUUCCAGAAAUGGUUGCCCCGCAAGGUCGGUAUACAGGUGGCGCAUGGUUGUCGUCAGCUCGUGUCGUGAGAUGUUGGGUUAAGUCCCGCAACGAGCGCAACCCUCGUUCUAUGUUGCCAGCACGUCAUGGUGGGAACUCAUAGGAGACUGCCGGGGUCAACUCGGAGGAAGGUGGGGAUGACGUCAAAUCAUCAUGCCCCUUAUGUCUUGGGCUUCACGCAUGCUACAAUGGCCGGUACAAAGGGCUGCGAUACCGUAAGGUGGAGCGAAUCCCAAAAAGCCGGUCUCAGUUCGGAUUGAGGUCUGCAACUCGACCUCAUGAAGUCGGAGUCGCUAGUAAUCGCAGAUCAGCAACGCUGCGGUGAAUACGUUCCCGGGCCU